Hordeum vulgare subsp. vulgare (domesticated barley) is the source of this 1887-nucleotide long non-coding RNA. RefSeq lists it as uncharacterized. NCBI's taxonomy places the organism in Eukaryota, Viridiplantae, Streptophyta, Magnoliopsida, Poales, Poaceae. The transcript is spliced from 6 exons. The record is from RefSeq and is a predicted model, not a curated record.
UCUCACUCCGAAGCCAACCUAAACCCUAGGAGCCCGUGGCUAACUCUCCUCGCCCGACCCUCCAGAGAAUGUGCGCCGUCACCUCUCCCUCUCCCUCUCCCCCCUGGUCGCAAGAUCCAACACCACUGCCGUCGCCAGAUCCAACCCCACUCCCGUCCCCGUCCACCCCGCCGCCGCCGCCGUCGUGAAUCCCGCCGGCGUCAACCCCGCGCGCGCGUGCUCUGCGCCCCGUGUCGGCUCGACGGACUCCAGGACCUCCGGAUCGGAGCCCCGCGCGCCUCGCCAUGGCGGACAACGCGGUCAAGGCCUAGCUCAACGCGACAGAUCGCUUCCAGUUCUAACACCGGCCGGCGAAAAGAGAUCGGGCUCGCCAAUCUCUCACCGGCUUCCCUCCGUCCCUUCCCAAAGGCGGUUGCGGAGUCAAAUCGCGCACUGAGAAGAGCUGAUAUGCAAGCGCUGCUCUUCUCUGCUCGGUGGACGCGGGCCUGCGGCAGCGGCAGCGGUGGAGAAGGGAGGGGAGGUAGGCAUCGGGUGACCUCCGUGACGCUCUCCAUGUUGGGGGAGAAGCCCGACCUGGUGUGCGAGCCGAGCGACAUCGUCGGGCAGGCGACGCGAACCAAAGACACAAAACAAGCGAAGCGAACCCCCUCUUCCUCCUCAUGUCGCCAUCCGCAGCCACCGGCAAAACCUCGUCCAGGGAGCCAUGGAGAGCAGCACCAGCGCCGAGGAGUCGCGGUGACUCGCGGCCCUCUGUGAACCCGAGCUCGAUUUGCUCAUCAGCCUGAAGAUGCUGGCGUGUCACCCGCUGUCACCCGCUGAUUACUCUCCAAAUGCAAAGUUCAUUUCCGUCCUAUCACCCGCUGAUUACUCACCCGCUGUCACCUGCAGGAUGGUUUCUUGAUUUAUUUCCGUCCUGUCACCCGCUGAUUACUCUGCAAAUGCAAAGUUCAUUUCCGCUUUGGUGGCAGACCUAUUGUCUUUGUUACUGAUUUAUGUGCACUUACGCCAUGCCUUGGGACAUUCAGUUGUUUCUGUUAUUCUUCAAAUACUCUGAAUCUGUGUGUCAAGGGGGGCAGAUUUGGAGCAAAACUUUGAAUUCAUGGGUGGCGGAGAGGCCGGAGGCGGACGUGGUGGUGAUCAGGAGCGGGCUCGGGGGGCUCUGAUGUGCGGGGCUCCUGGCGAGGUACAGGUAGGAUGUGGUGGUGAUCGGGAGCAGGCUCGGGGGGCUCUUCUCCGGCUUCCAGUCCAGAGGGCCCGAAGACAACCCCGUCACCCAGGUCUGUCACCCUCCAUUGGUUCGGUUCCUCUCCUACAAACAACAACAGAGCAGACAACAGGGAGAUUCUUUCAGACAAAUUAACUGUCUGAAAUCUGAAGUGAACUUAUCAACAGAACAGGAUUGCCAGUUCUACAUGCAGAAUUGCGAUUCGUGAUGGAACCGUCCGGUUCAGGAGCAGCAGAACCGGGCGAGGACGGCCGCGACCAAGAACCGGCCCAUGAGCGCUCCUACGCCCCCUCCAAUGGAGCCGGACCCGCGGUGGCGGAGAUGAGGGAGGCGCCCAACUCGUCUGGCCUGGAGUGCGUUCCUGAGCGUUUCUUCGUUUCCUCUUGCGCAGUUCAACUUGUUGCGCGCGGGAGAGGCGAUGCAUAGGAAGGAACGGGAACUUGGCUCCAGAGUGUGUCAUCACCGAGGACCUCCAGGCCUAAGAAAGUUGAAGUGCGAAGCCUUGAAGCCAAUUGUGUGAAGCUCUACUUAUCCAAGAAUGCAUAUUAUAUAUUGUAAUAUUGCAUAUUAUAUAUUGUAAUAAUAGACAUAUCUGCUUUGUAAUAGACUGGAAAAAUUGUAAUAUACUACCUUCGUGUUAAUUUGAUGAAUUUCACAUGUCC